This is a long non-coding RNA of Gavialis gangeticus (Gharial), 327 nucleotides long. RefSeq lists it as uncharacterized. The record is from RefSeq and is a predicted model, not a curated record. The transcript is spliced from 3 exons. NCBI's taxonomy places the organism in Eukaryota, Metazoa, Chordata, Crocodylia, Gavialidae.
CCCUGUUAUUAAUGCAGGGGCCAAGAAGGUCAUGAUCGUGGAUGUAACCAUCCCCUUUGAGAACCGGUGCCAAGCCUUCACUGAUGCGCGGGCUCGCAAAUGGGAGAAGUAUGCCCUGCUGGCCGACAUCCUGAGGGGCUGUGGCUAUGACGUGAUGGUCAAUGCACUCAUCGUGGGAACACUCGGAGCCUGGGACCCCAGGAACGAGAGCGUCCUGAGUGCCUGCUGCAUCUCCCGCUGCUACGCCAAGUUGAUGUACUGCCUCAUGGUAUCUGACACCAUCUGUUGGCCCCACAACAUCUACGUGGAACACAUCAUGGGCCACUG